Molecule: ribosomal RNA, 468 nt
Filed under: uncultured bacterium
Lineage: Bacteria
Description: partial 16S ribosomal RNA
Rfam family: Bacterial small subunit ribosomal RNA
Source: RNAcentral
GACGAACGCUGGCGGCGUGCUUAACACAUGCAAGUCGAACGGAAAGGCCCUGCUUUUGUGGCGUGCUCGAGUGGAGCACGGGUGAGUAACCCGUGGGUAACCUGCCCUUGACUUUGGGAUACCUCCAGGAAACUGGGGCUAAUACCGGAUAGGAGCUCAUGCUGCAUGGUGGGGGCUGGAAAGUUUCGGCGGUUGGGGAUGGACUGGCGGCUUAUAAGCUUGUUGGUGGGGUAGGGGCUUACCAAGGCAUUGACGGGUAGCCGGCCGGCGCGGGGGACAGGCCGCAAUGGUACGGAGGUGCGGCCCAGACGCCUACGGGGGGCAGCAGUGGGGAAGAUUGCACAAUGGUCGGAGGCCGGAUGCAGCAGCGCCGCGGGGGGGAUGACGGCCGUCGGGUUGUAAACCGCUGUCGCCUGUGACGAAGCGGGAGUGACGGUAAUUGGUAAAGAAGCACCGGCUAACUACGUG